Molecule: long non-coding RNA, 230 nt
Filed under: Lathyrus oleraceus (garden pea)
Lineage: Eukaryota; Viridiplantae; Streptophyta; Magnoliopsida; Fabales; Fabaceae
Description: Pisum sativum (pea) long non-coding RNA (PSAT_LNC008678)
Source: RNAcentral
UUGAUCGAGUUUACGUAUAACAACAGUUUCCAUUCGAGUAUUGGAAUGACACCUUUUGAGGCUCUUUAUGGUAGAAGGUGUAGAACUCCUUUGUGUUGGUACGAAUCGGGAGAGAGUGUUGUGGUUCGAGUUUACGUAUAACAACAGUUUCCAUUCGAGUAUUGGAAUGACACCUUUUGAGGCUCUUUAUGGUAGAAGGUGUAGAACUCCUUUGUGUUGGUACGAAUCGG